GACGAAGGGGGCUAGCGCUGUUCGGAAUUACUGGGCGUAAAGCGCACGUAGGCGGACUGACAAGUCAGGGGAGAGAUCCCGGGGCUCAACCUCGUAACUGCCUCUGAUACUGUCAGUCUAGAGUCCGGAAGAGGUGGGUGGAAUUCCUAGUGUAGAGGUGAAAUUCGCAGAUAUUAGGAAGAACACCGGUGGCGAAGGCGGCCCACUGGUCCGGAACUGACGCUGAGGUGCGAAAGCGUGGGGAGCAAACAGU
RNAcentral lists this ribosomal RNA (253 nucleotides) under uncultured bacterium. Its description in RNAcentral is "partial 16S ribosomal RNA". It matches the Rfam family "Bacterial small subunit ribosomal RNA", at positions 524 to 776 of the family's 1533-position model. The record is from RNAcentral.